AGCCAUUUUUAAUUUUGCAAAACUUCCAUUUUGUGGUUUUAGGAAAGUACUCCCUCCAUUUUAUUCUGCUAUGGUGAUUUUCAGAGACAGAGAGAGAAGGAGAAGCUCUUCGAAUCAAAAUUCUUCGCCACUGCUUCAAAUUCAACUGCGGCAGAACUAUUAUGCGCUUGAAAUUAAAGCCACCAUGUACAAAGUGAUAUUUUUGAUAUAUCAUCACUCUUCAAGAAUUUUGGUUGGAAUUUCAGGACUGAUUUCAGAGAGUUGAUGAUACAAAGGUGCUUGCCGUUUUGUAUUCCAAAGUUAGCUGGACUUGAGCUACCUCAAUGAUCCGAGCAAUGACACUGCUGGAGCUAGCAUUUGUGCCUGAUCAGAUACUUUAUGAUGCAUUUUAUGGAAGAUAUGAGAAUGGUACUGGAGCAAUUAUUUUGCUUAUCGUCAUUUGGGGAUCAAUUUUCUUUGCCGGGCUUUCUAUCACUAAACUACUAAAGUGCAGCCAGAGUUGUAUACGUAUUAUCUAGAGAUGGAGGAGUCCCAUUUUCAUCCGUUUGGAGAAAAGUGCACCCCAAGCAUAACAUCAAUUUGCACAGUCGGGUGGGUUGGUGGCUAUGCAGUUCCAUCUUUGUAAGAGAAUGGUUAUGGCGGAGGAAAACUUCAAACCCGGGCCAUUUUAUCUUGGGAGAGCAAGCAGGUAAAUGACUGAGUUCCUAUGAGGAUAGGAACUUGGAAUAGCUACUGGAGUUCCUGAGUUGGAAGCAAUAAAAGCUAGAGCAUCAAAGCCAAUAAAGUCAAGCAACAACUUCUACAAACGAGUGAUUUUCAAAUACGCAAGGGAAGAUGUAGUUCCUAGUCCUGAGUUCCUCUGUAAGCAUAAGAGGAACUCACCACUGUUCCAAAGCAGGAACAACUGAAGCUUCUGAGUUGAAAGCUCCAAAAAGGGGAAGAUAUAAAUGUCUAGGUAGUUUACUAUACUUAGAUUUUAUGUAAAAUAUUAAUGUGCUAAAAUAUUAAUAAAAUAAUUUACUUACAAUUAUUUUGCAUUUAAGUUGAUUUUUGUUUAAGUUAUAUUUUUAUUAUAUUUAGUUAAUAAUAUAUUCAUAUUAGUUAA
This is a long non-coding RNA of Spinacia oleracea (spinach), 1105 nucleotides long. RefSeq lists it as uncharacterized. The transcript has 6 exons. The record is from RefSeq and is a predicted model, not a curated record. Lineage: Eukaryota; Viridiplantae; Streptophyta; Magnoliopsida; Caryophyllales; Amaranthaceae.